AGAUGGCCUUUAAAUGUCCCUUCCAAGCCAAGCCAUUCUGUGCUGCUGUGCACCAGUAGAGCAGUGCUGGAAUAAUGCUGGGGUGAUGAUGCUGGCACCUGUGUUUCGGUAGUUGUGCCAUUUAGCUGUUGGCCAAGAGAGGAUUGAUGGGCUGCACAGUGAAGUCUGCAAAGAACAGUGUGCUCAAGGAGAAACAGGAGAGGAACAGGGCUUCCAGCUCAGAUAAAUGCCAGCAUUUUGCUGCCCAUUUCUUGUUAAGAAAUAAAGCAAUGUUCUGAAGAUCCCUUCAGUGUGGGUGCACUAUUGGCUGUAUCAGUGCUUGUGUUCUGUAAAACAGGUAUCCAUCAGGACAGUGGCUGUGAAGCUUGGAACAAUGUAGGUUUAGAGCAGCAAAAAUAAUAAUCCAUUUCCCAGGUUAAGCCAAGCACUUCCCAAAUAACUCUAGCUAUCCUCAGGGAUGUUUCCAAAAGUAUCACAGUAAAUGUUGGGAGUGGGGAGAGAAUGUGAACAAAAUUAAAAAUACAGCUUUCUGAGAUCUUUUUAUUCCUAUAAAAACAGAGUCAAAAUUGUUUAUAGAUAGAACAUUAACUAAGAAGUGAACAACAGAUUUUCAAGAUAAUUGCUUAGGAAUCAAAAAUAUCUAAAUAAAAAUAACUUAACAUGUGGAUUUAUAAGAAAACAAUCAUACUAAGAAAAAAACCAUACCUACCAAAUCUAAAAACAACAAGUCUGCCUCAUCUGUCUCAAUAACAAAAAAAACCAACAAAACACCAUUGAAAAGAAUCAGAUCCUCAAGACCAUUACUACAUACAGGACCUUCCAGGUAAUGGGAAUAAACAAAGGAAUUUUUGGACAGUUUUUUUUUCUCCUUGGGCUGGGGGAGCUGUCACAGGGAAGGGAGGGUCAGGAGUGGCAGUGGCUGCUCAGGGAUGGGUUUGGCCCGUGUCCCUGGAAGGAGCCACUGCCAAGCAGCUGUGCUGCCCCCGGGCUCUGCUCUCAGCUUUCUGGGCUCUGUUGGGGGGCACAGCCUCUGCCAAGGGGUGCCAAGGUGCCUGCAGGCCCCAGCUCUGGGGGAAACAGAGAACGUCCUGGCUGUAUCCAGCGUGCUGCCAGCUCAGCAGUGGAGCACAGCACAGGCUCACGCUGCCCAUUGCUCCCACAGAUGCAGCCGGCACCACAAGACAUGCUCAGAAGAUCUGGGAGAGCAUGAGAAGAGUUUUCUACCAGGGAACACAUGGUUUGAUUAAGUUAAUGGCCACUGUGGCUGGUGGAGCACUUUUCCUGCUGAUGUGCUAUGCUGGAAUCAAGUAUUGCUGGAAGAGAAAAGGGAGCACCUCUGCACCUUCAGAAGAGCAGCCAAAGACUUUAAUCACCGAGAAGCUGAUCUGUCAUCCCCGCUCUUCACCUCUGUCUCCCUCUGCUCUGCUACGGCUCCAUCCCCGUCUUGAGUGCGUCCCAAGACUCACACCUGCAAAGUGAGAGCCUCUGCCCCUGAGCCCCCUGGCCCUGGUCCCUGGCCAGGACUGAAAUUGGGCAGCCCCUGUCCAGCAGAGCAGGGCUUGGCCUAUGGUUUUUGUUCCAAUAAAGAGAUGGAGAUUUUACCUCAGUGUCUGGCUGGUACCACCAGCAAAGCCCUCAUGGCACCAGCCCCUGCUGAGCUCCAUGUCCAGGAGCAGCCGGGGGUGUCCACAGUGUGGGCAGGCAGGAGCCAGGCAGGGGCUGCCAUGACCAGUGGUGGGGCCACGAGGGGCUGGGGGAGCCCAUGCUGAGCGUCCCUGGGCUGUGAGGGCACAUUUCCUUCAGUGGCAUCACCUGGGCCUGCACCUCAUGAGGCACCCAGGGCUAAUUUGGGCUCUCUGCUAAGGUGUGCAGGGAUCCCCCAUGAGGUGUGCAGCGGGGUUAAAUUGAGAGGGUUUUUUCCUCUUCUCAGCACAGCAAAGGGGACACUCUUGGCUGAGGUUUUGCAGA
Non-coding RNA from Cyanistes caeruleus (blue tit), 1968 nucleotides. Lineage: Eukaryota; Metazoa; Chordata; Aves; Passeriformes; Paridae. The record is from RefSeq and is a predicted model, not a curated record.